Molecule: ribosomal RNA, 483 nt
Filed under: uncultured bacterium
Lineage: Bacteria
Description: partial 16S ribosomal RNA
Rfam family: Bacterial small subunit ribosomal RNA
Source: RNAcentral
UUGAACGCUGGCGGCAGGCCUAACACAUGCAAGUCGAGCGGAUGAAGGGAGCUUGCUCCUGGAUUCAGCGGCGGACGGGUGAGUAAUGCCUAGGAAUCUGCCUGGUAGUGGGGGAUAACGUCCGGAAACGGGCGCUAAUACCGCAUACGUCCUGAGGGAGAAAGUGGGGGAUCUUCGGACCUCACGCUAUCAGAUGAGCCUAGGUCGGAUUAGCUAGUUGGUGGGGUAAAGGCCUACCAAGGCGACGAUCCGUAGCUGGUCUGAGAGGAUGAUCAGUCACACUGGAACUGAGACACAGUCCAGACUCCUACGGGAGGCAGCAGUGGGGAAUAUUGGACAAUGGGCGAAAGCCUGAUCCAGCCAUGCCGCGUGUGUGAAGAAGGUCUUCGGAUUGUAAAGCACUUUAAGUUGGGAGGAAGGGCAGUAAGUUAAUACCUUGCUGUUUUGACGUUACCAACAGAAUAAGCACCGGCUAACUUCGUG